RNAcentral lists this transfer RNA (72 nucleotides) under Marmota monax (woodchuck). RNAcentral describes it as "tRNA.Ala". Lineage: Eukaryota; Metazoa; Chordata; Mammalia; Rodentia; Sciuridae. The record is from RNAcentral.
UGAGGUGUGGCUUAGUGUUAGAGCUCAUACUUAGCACGUGUGAGGCCCUGGGUUUAAGCCCCCACACCAAAU